This 788-nucleotide ribosomal RNA is filed under the name uncultured Lactobacillus sp. Its description in RNAcentral is "bacterial SSU rRNA". It matches the Rfam family "Bacterial small subunit ribosomal RNA", at positions 28 to 776 of the family's 1533-position model. Lineage: Bacteria; Bacillati; Bacillota; Bacilli; Lactobacillales; Lactobacillaceae. The record is from RNAcentral.
GACGAACGCUGGCGGCGUGCCUAAUACAUGCAAGUCGAGCGAGCUUGCCUAGAUGAAUUUGGUGCUUGCACCAAAUGAAACUAGAUACAAGCGAGCGGCGGACGGGUGAGUAACACGUGGGUAACCUGCCCAAGAGACUGGGAUAACACCUGGAAACAGAUGCUAAUACCGGAUAACAACACUAGACGCAUGUCUAGAGUUUAAAAGAUGGUUCUGCUAUCACUCUUGGAUGGACCUGCGGUGCAUUAGCUAGUUGGUAAGGUAACGGCUUACCAAGGCAAUGAUGCAUAGCCGAGUUGAGAGACUGAUCGGCCACAUUGGGACUGAGACACGGCCCAAACUCCUACGGGAGGCAGCAGUAGGGAAUCUUCCACAAUGGACGCAAGUCUGAUGGAGCAACGCCGCGUGAGUGAAGAAGGGUUUCGGCUCGUAAAGCUCUGUUGGUAGUGAAGAAAGAUAGAGGUAGUAACUGGCCUUUAUUUGACGGUAAUUACUUAGAAAGUCACGGCUAACUACGUGCCAGCAGCCGCGGUAAUACGUAGGUGGCAAGCGUUGUCCGGAUUUAUUGGGCGUAAAGCGAGUGCAGGCGGUUCAAUAAGUCUGAUGUGAAAGCCUUCGGCUCAACCGGAGAAUUACAUCAGAAACUGUUGAACUUGAGUGCAGAAGAGGAGAGUGGAACUCCAUGUGUAGCGGUGGAAUGCGUAGAUAUAUGGAAGAACACCAGUGGCGAAGGCGGCUCUCUGGUCUGCAACUGACGCUGAGGCUCGAAAGCAUGGGUAGCGAACAGG